AUAAUGGGUCAGCGACUUAUAUUCUGUAGCAAGGUUAACCGAAUAGGGGAGCCGAAGGGAAACCGAGUCUUAACUGGGCGUUAAGUUGCAGGGUAUAGACCCGAAACCCGGUGAUCUAGCCAUGGGCAGGUUGAAGGUUGGGUAACACUAACUGGAGGACCGAACCGACUAAUGUUGAAAAAUUAGCGGAUGACUUGUGGCUGGGGGUGAAAGGCCAAUCAAACCGGGAGAUAGCUGGUUCUCCCCGAAAGCUAUUUAGGUAGCGCCUCGUGAAUUCAUCUCCGGGGGUAGAGCACUGUUUCGGCAAGGGGGUCAUCCCGACUUACCAACCCGAUGCAAACUGCGAAUACCGGAGAAUGUUAUCACGGGAGACACACGGCGGGUGCUAACGUCCGUCGUGAAGAGGGAAACAACCCAGACCGCCAGCUAAGGUCCCAAAGUCAUGGUUAAGUGGGAAACGAUGUGGGAAGGCCCAGACAGCCAGGAUGUUGGCUUAGAAGCAGCCAUCAUUUAAAGAAAGCGUAAUAGCU
RNAcentral lists this ribosomal RNA (530 nucleotides) under Escherichia coli. RNAcentral's name for it is "partial 23S ribosomal RNA". It matches the Rfam family "Bacterial large subunit ribosomal RNA", at positions 612 to 1142 of the family's 2925-position model. The record is from RNAcentral. Lineage: Bacteria; Pseudomonadati; Pseudomonadota; Gammaproteobacteria; Enterobacterales; Enterobacteriaceae.